GGAGUCUCCUGUUCCCAGAGGAAAUAGCAAGGACCCCAGACAGGGGAGAAAGCUGAGUGGGGAAGAAGGCCCUGCCCUCCCCAAUGCCCGGCCCUGGCUGUGCAGCAGAGCUGGCCAUUCCAGCUGGGGAGGUGAGGAUUCCCCUGCGAGCUGAGCAGGAACAGCCCCUUGCCGUGAGUCAGGCCCCAGAGGCACGGAAUGCUCCCAGUGCCAAUGGCUCAGGGAGCCACGGCGGCUGCUGCUGGACCAGCGAGAAACCCAGAAGGAGCAUUGCAGGCACUGCAAGGACAGCUCACGGCUCUGCCUGCUCCCGCCGCUGCUGCUUCCUCUGCUCCCCCAGAGAGGCGUUUCCAGCAGCUCGGCGAUCUCGGGGCUGCGCCGUGCUCUCGGACUCUUCCUCACUCAGCAAACACGCAGCUCGCUCUCGCCAUGCACCUCGCCUCUCUCAUCCUCACCCUCUUCCUGGGACAGCUCCUGGGCACCACGGGGCAGAUCACAGUCACCCAGGAUGAUGGACAAGUCAUGGUGAAGCAGGGACACAUCUUCCAGACCACCUGCAAAUACCAGAUGACUGGUUUUACUUCCUUGCUCUGGUACCAGCUUCGGAAAGGCCAAGCCCCACAGCUGCUCUCCUAUCAAGCAGGCUCUGGCCCCAAGCACAGCGGCCGGAUCACCACACACCUCAACACCACGGGGAAAUACAGUGUCCUGAAGGUGGAGGAAGUGCAGCUCUCUGACACUGCCUUGUACCUCUGUGCUGUGACAGACACCCCGGGGCAGGGAGCGUCCCCGGCUCACAGAGCAGCAGCGUCCCAGGCUCAGAAGGAGCCCGAGUGCAGCUGA
Molecule: non-coding RNA, 843 nt
Organism: Poecile atricapillus (Black-capped chickadee)
Lineage: Eukaryota; Metazoa; Chordata; Aves; Passeriformes; Paridae
Source: the annotation of a RefSeq genome assembly